AAUGAACGCUGGCGGCGUGCCUAACACAUGCAAGUCGUACGAGAAAGGGGCUUCGGCCCUGAGUAGAGUGGCGCACGGGUGAGUAACGCGUGGGUAAUCUACCCUUGGAUUUGGGAUAACUUCGCGAAAGCGGAGCUAAUACCGGAUAGUCUGGCUUUAAUUAAGAAGUCGGUAAAGGAUGCCUCUGCAUAUGCAUUCGUCCGAGGAUGAGCCCGCGUCUCAUUAGCUAGUUGGUAGGGUAAUGGCCUACCAAGGCAACGAUGAGUAGCUGGUCUGAGAGGAUGAUCAGCCACACUGGAACUGAAACACGGUCCAGACUCCUACGGGAGGCAGCAGUGGGGAAUAUUGCGCAAUGGGCGAAAGCCUGACGCAGCAACGCCGUGUGAGGGAUGAAGGCUUUCGGGUCGUAAACCUCUGUCGGAAGGGAAGAACGGGCAUUGGUCUAAUAGGCCUUUGUUUUGACGGUACCUUUAGAGGAAGCACCGGCUAACUCCGUGCCAGCAGCCGCGGUAAUACGGAGGGUGCAAGCGUUAUUCGGAUUACUGG
This 546-nucleotide ribosomal RNA is filed under the name Desulfomicrobium sp. enrichment culture clone D5. Its description in RNAcentral is "bacterial SSU rRNA". It matches the Rfam family "Bacterial small subunit ribosomal RNA", at positions 28 to 557 of the family's 1533-position model. The record is from RNAcentral. Lineage: Bacteria; Pseudomonadati; Thermodesulfobacteriota; Desulfovibrionia; Desulfovibrionales; Desulfomicrobiaceae.